This 253-nucleotide ribosomal RNA is filed under the name uncultured bacterium. RNAcentral's name for it is "partial 16S ribosomal RNA". It matches the Rfam family "Bacterial small subunit ribosomal RNA", at positions 524 to 776 of the family's 1533-position model. The record is from RNAcentral.
UACAGAGGUCCCAAGCGUUGUUCGGAUUCACUGGGCGUAAAGGGUGCGUAGGUGGCGGUGUAAGUUUGAUGUGAAAUCUCCGGGCUCAACCCGGAAAAUGCAUUGAAUACUAUACUGCUUGAGGUUUGGAGGGGGGACUGGAAUUCUUGGUGUAGCAGUGAAAUGCGUAGAUAUCAAGAGGAACACCAGUGGCGAAGGCGAGUCCCUGGACAACACCUGGCACUGAGGCACGAAAGCCGGGGGAGCAAACAGG